Molecule: ribosomal RNA, 266 nt
Filed under: Clostridioides difficile
Lineage: Bacteria; Bacillati; Bacillota; Clostridia; Peptostreptococcales; Peptostreptococcaceae
Description: partial 23S ribosomal RNA
Rfam family: Bacterial large subunit ribosomal RNA
Source: RNAcentral
AAAGAGAGCUUGAUUGCAAGACAUACAGGUCGAGCAAGGAUGAAAAUCGGACUUAGUGAUCCGGUGGUUCUGCGGGGAAGGGCCAUCGCUCAACGGAUAAAAGCUACCCUGGGGAUAACAGGCUUAUCUCCCCCAAGAGUCCACAUCGACGGGGAGGUUUGGCACCUCGAUGUCGGCUCAUCACAUCCUGGGGCUGUAGUAGGUCCCAAGGGUUGGGCUGUUCGCCCAUUAAAGUGGUACGCGAGCUGGGUUCAGAACGUCGUGAG